RNAcentral lists this transfer RNA (68 nucleotides) under Diaphorina citri (Asian citrus psyllid). It matches the Rfam family "tRNA". Rfam says of the family: Transfer RNA (tRNA) molecules are approximately 80 nucleotides in length. Their secondary structure includes four short double-helical elements and three loops (D, anti-codon, and T loops). Lineage: Eukaryota; Metazoa; Arthropoda; Insecta; Hemiptera; Psyllidae. The record is from Rfam by way of RNAcentral.
GCUUAGGUAGUUGGUAGUGCGUCUGCCUUGUAAGCGCUAGGCCGCGGGUUCGAUUCCCGCCCGGGGCG